GGAACUGUUGGAAUCAUUUCUUUUAAAAAGUCUUAU
RNAcentral lists this small RNA (36 nucleotides) under Anaerobutyricum hallii. RNAcentral's name for it is "CRISPR_Spacer". Lineage: Bacteria; Bacillati; Bacillota; Clostridia; Lachnospirales; Lachnospiraceae. The record is from RNAcentral.